Molecule: long non-coding RNA, 1322 nt
Filed under: Mus caroli (Ryukyu mouse)
Lineage: Eukaryota; Metazoa; Chordata; Mammalia; Rodentia; Muridae
Description: lncRNA (MGP_CAROLIEiJ_G0004229.1)
Source: RNAcentral
ACAUUCCACAGUGCAAACAGCAGGCAGAGCUUCUCAGAGAGGAGACUAGCAGUUACCUUUGAAGUCUUCCAUGUCAUUUUCACAAUGAUUUGUGACUGGUUCAAGUCCCCCCCCACACUUGUAAGAAGGGGAACAGAGAGACUGGAACCCAGAGGAUCUGAUCCCAAAGCUAUCCUUUCUCUCACUCUCUUGGAUGGUCUCUGUCAUCAGGUUGCUCACAGGCACCAAUAAGGGUGGAAGGGACAAUCUACAGUGCCACAGAGUCUGUUGAUACUGUGCUGUCGCAAUAUAUUCUACAUAUUAAGUUUCUGGAAUACUUCAAGAUCCAAACCAACCAGAACACAAAGUCGUUGUCUUGCCCCAUUUGUGCCACUACAACAGAACACCAUACCCUGGACCGUUUCUAAAGAAGAGAGAUUGAUGUUUCCGUUCUGGAGACAGUGGGGGCAAUGGCAUCUUGCAUCUGUUGGGGGAACUUGCUGCUGCUUCCUUCCAGGAAAGAAGACAGAAAGGCAUUCAAAGGAGCAGACAUUGCAGCCUGCCAUGACAGAAGAGCUGAGGGGAGCGAACCCAUUCCCACAAACCCUUUCGAUAGCAGCGUCAACUCAUUAUAACAGAAAGAAGCACCUCCCAUUCAGCAUUGUCGUCCCCCACCCCCGACUGUCACACUAAGAUCUCCCAUUCAGCACUGUCCCCCCGACUGUCACUCUAAGAUUUCCUUCCAACAAAUAAAUUGGGCGAGGAGACACUUUUUGAUAUGAAAAAAAAAAAAAAACCAACAUAGUUUGUGACUUCAUCUUACAGAACAGAGGAAAUAAAUUAGCUAGCUAUCAAGGCUAUCAGAAGACAGUGGCCAUAAGACUUGUAAUAUUAAUGCCAAGGGUCCCUCAUCAAUUACAUCUCAAAACUUAGGGGCACAUGAAAGGGACUGAAGAAGAAAUCUGAGGACAUCCGUGGCUACCUAAACAAAUCUAUUGGCUGGUAUUGUUCUGGUAUUGCAGGGGAGUCCCAUCCUUGGAACUGUAGAAUUUGCAUUAAUUCUAGCUUCUAGAUUUACUUUGCAGCUUUUUAGGACUGAAUUUGCCAAGGUCCCACAAGACACGAGGAGCACAUUAGAGAGAGUCUCAUUCAGGAGUCUCAUUCAGGAGUCUUAACCAUUUUUAAGCCAAAUGUCCAAUGACUAUUUUUCACUUGUCACUUAAAAAAUAUGCUUACUGCUACCCAUAUAUAUCAUAUAUGUAUUCUAUAGAUAUACUUAUGCUUGUCAUCACAACAAAGCAAAAUAACUUCCUGCUUUAAGGAAGGAGAUUAUAUUAAUUGCC